Non-coding RNA from Podarcis lilfordi (Lilford's wall lizard), 70 nucleotides. The record is from the annotation of a GenBank genome assembly. NCBI's taxonomy places the organism in Eukaryota, Metazoa, Chordata, Lepidosauria, Squamata, Lacertidae.
GGUUUAGCUCGGUCGAUAGAGCAUGAGACUCUUAACUUGCAGGUUGUGGGUUCGAAUCCCACAUUGGGCG